RNAcentral lists this long non-coding RNA (880 nucleotides) under Spirodela polyrhiza (greater duckweed). RNAcentral's name for it is "long non-coding RNA (SPOL_LNC000428)". The record is from RNAcentral. Lineage: Eukaryota; Viridiplantae; Streptophyta; Magnoliopsida; Alismatales; Araceae.
GCCAACGCGGCGGCGGGGAACCAGAAGCUGCAGGCGGCGCUGGACUGGGCGUGCGGCCCUGGCGGCGCAGACUGUAGGCCCUUGCAGCCCGGAGGGCGGUGCUUCGAGCCCAACACGCUGGAGGCCCACGCCUCUUACGCCAUGAACAGCUACUACCAGCAGCACGGCCGCGACGCCCCCUCUUGUGACUUCAACGGUGCCGCCCGCGUCGUCUACCAGCGCCCAAGUGAGUCCUUAAUUACGCUGAAUAGUUAGUCAUUAUCUGCGUUACAAUGAAAGUAGGAAAGGGCUAGGACCCGGGGACCGUCGAGUCCACUUCCACCAACAGAGUAAUUUGGAGGAUCCAUGACGGAUCUUCUCUCAAUAGGACUCAAAUCGGGCUUCGCCUUCUCCUAGAAGGCCUAAACUGACGCUCCCUCAGGAUAUACAUCACAGAUGGAGACAGAGACAGAUAGAGAAAUGCACGCUCUUGAAGAUCGGGUUUUGGCCCAGGCUGGUUUUUUCGUUUUAUUGGACUUGACUCUUGAAGUCCAAUCUCAGAUAAAAAACCCCUUAAAUCCUUAAAAUAUUAAAAUAUAUUGUGAAUUUAUUAUGUAGACAUUUUAUUUAGAAGUAAUUUUACAAAUCCCUUUUGUGAACGAUACCUUUCAGGAUAUGGCAAUUGCGAGUUCUAACCUCAAGACCAGCACCAAACGAAACCAAGGUGGCAUAAGUGCCAGAAUAAGUCGAGUGUCACAAAGAUUUUGUGCUACAUUUUCUCACUCGUAAGCACUUCAGUGGUCGGCAAUGAUACCUUCAUAUAUGUAAUGAAUAUCCAAAUAAUGCAACUCCAAAUUCAUGCUCUCUCUCUCUCUCUCUCUCAUCACAAUCAUCACUCCCA